AAGUAUUGAUCUAAAGUAGUGGUAUCUUAACCGGGUCGGGUGUAAAUUCGGAUUUUAAGAUACCAACAACACCAUCAUAGCGCCGCUGCAAGGCGAACUUGACCUUCCGUCAAACUCUGUUUCUCUCUCUCCAUCGAAGAUUCCGUACCCUCAGGUAAAAUCGUAUACUACAUUUAGUACAUCCUUCAAGGAGUUAGGUUCUUUCAUUUGUUGAAUUUUGUUUGAGGAAGAUGGCUGGGAGGAACCGUGGACCGCCACUUCCGAUGAAAGGUGUCCCACAUGGUGGAAUGCCACUUAUUCACGAGCCACCGUAUGGAAGGAAUCUAGGCCCGAUGCCCCAUCCUGCGUUGCUUGAAGAGAUGCGCGAAGCUGAGUUUGCAAGGGCUCACAGACCACUCCCACCCCACCCUGCUAUAUUUGAAGAACGGUUAGCAGUUCAACAUCAGGACAUUCAGGGGCUGUUGGUUGAUAAUCAACGGUUAGCUGCAACCCAUGUUGCACUUAAGCAGGAGUUAGAAGCUGCACAACAUGAGCUUCAACAAACCGAUCAUCAUGCUAGAAACUUUUUGAUGGAGAAGGAUAUGCAGAUGCGAGAGUUGUAUGAGAAGUCGGCCAAAAUGGAACAUGAUCUUCAUGGGGUUGAAGGCAUGCGGGGCGAGCUUAUGAAAUUGCAUGCUGAUAUUAAGGAAUUGACUGCCACUCGUCAAAAGCUUACUGCUCAAGUUCAGGCUAUGUCUCAAGAUUUAGCUAGAGCUAAUGCUGAAUUGCAGCAAGUUCCAGCACUCAAGUCGGAAAUUGGAGGGCUUAGGCAGGAACUGCAACGUGUGAGGGCUGCUAUCGAACAAGAGAAAAAGGGGCAUGCAGAGAACUAUGAACAUGGUCAAGUGAUGGAGAAGAAUUUACUCACUAUGGCUCGUGAGUUGGAAAAGUUACGCGCUGAGAUGGCUAAUGCUGAAAAAAGGACACGUGCUGCAGCUGGGAAUCCAAAUCCUGGCUAUAACACAAAUUAUGGCAAUGUUGAAGCUAACUAUGGAGUGAAUCCGUAUCCUGCUAAUUACGGGAUGAAUCCUACUAAUCAAAUGAAUCCUGUGCAGCCAGGUGCUGAAGGCUAUCCUCAGUAUGGACCUGGACCUGGAUCGUGGGGCUCAUAUGAUAUGCAACGGGCUCAAGGGCACAGAUAAACCAUCUCAUGCUAAGCUGUGGUCUCUUAGAUUGCUUAUCGGAGCAAAAGUAUGGUACUCUGAAUUGAAGUCUAGGCGGGAAAUAUCGGCUAUGGAAAACAACACACUUUCUGGAUUGGCCUUGACAAAAGGAAAUAUUUUAAAGUUUUGUGGCUGACUGCCUGACAACUAUGGCUACAUGGGCAAAACUCAUGGUCCAAGUGCUUAAGUGCAAAUAGGUGAAUUAGAGGGAUUUGGUAUCUGAUGACUUUUGUAGUUUUAUUGUUAGCACUCUUGUUUAAAUUGCCAUUCAUUACGACAAUAAGAUACACUUUGGCAUCACGUUUCAGAUAAUGAUUUCCUAAAAUCCUGAUAAGAUAUUUUUCUAGAUUCUUUUGAUUACUCUUUCUAGUAUGGGCAUGAUUACACCGUGGCAAAUUGGACAGGUUAGGUAACGGGUCAAAAUAAGUUUUGCAUUCAAUAUGCUUACAAGAGUGGUGACAUUUUUUUAAGUGGCCCAUUCUUACUUUUCUUAUGUGGUGAGGAUGUAUUUCCUUACAAUAUGAUGUUUUUAUGGCUUACCGUUUUAUGCUAGGUCCUGCAUGGUUAAAAAUCAUUAGUUAUGCCUUGUGUGUUGUCACGUAUAUAACCAGUUUUAUAAGUGCUAAGCCCACAAAAAAUCUGACUUUUUGUAAGUGGUGUGUUACAUAUGAUUACACUUACUGUAUUAUUACAAUAAUAAUCUUAGCUUUCAGAAGUAGAGUAAGGUUAUCGUACAAAUGGGCUUAACAUACUAAACGUGAGAAGUGAAGGAGGGAAUUUAUUUUUGAAAAUUUAUUUCCCAUCUUGCCAAGCACGUAUUUUAGUCCCAGAAUCUAAAAAAAAUAUUUUUUUUUUUGUGUAUUUACAUUAGUAGAGUAAUUAUGUAAUCGCUCUACACAACUUUUUUUUUGUUUUUUUUUUACAUUUUGCAACUAAACAUCAUGCUUAAGUAGAGAUGGAAGAAAAAAAAAUCUUCCUUCACUUCUUAUGUUUAGUAUGUUGAGACCCAUUUGUAUCUGAUCUUUACCUUUUAGAAGUAUAUCCAAAGGGGAUGUUGCAUCCACAAAAAAAGCGCAUGUUUAAGACCAAAAAAGUGCCAUAAUAACUGGAUAUAUGAUAGGCAUAAAAACCUAUAUGAUUUUUGUUAAAUUGAAGUUCGAAAAGUAAAAGAAAUUCUGUUUUUGAUUCCACAUUGCUUCACAUAAAUGGGAGGCAGUCAAACAUGGAACUAGGGAUAGUAAAAGAACCCGCACACGAAACAUCCGUGACAGGUAUGGGGUUAAUAAAAAAAUGCGGGUUUGGAUGUAUGGUAUUAGGUGAUACCUGGCACAAUUGCCCGAAGUCAUAAACCCGUAUGGUGGAUACACAAACAAUAUACCUGAAAAAUUUUAAUCUUAUUUUUUAUUUUUCCUUGACCCUUGUCUAGUGAUGCUUCAUUCUACUAGCUUCAUUAUGUGGAAAAUGAACUUCUCUGUUUAUGAUAUUAUGUAUGCUACGAAGCAUGAACUUAUCUUUUUACGAUUUAUCCAAUUAAUCUCUAAACUGAAGUGCUUGCUUCAUCUGCACCCCUAUGUUGUCAAAAGCGCAAAAAGCGCGCGCCUAGGCGUCCGGGCGCAUCGAGGCGCACCUAUAGCGCCUGGUGGUAGCCUAGGCGCAAAAAUGGGCUUUUUUGAAAAAACGGUGCUGAGGCGCAAAAAAACGUUGUUGAGGCGCAGGAAAAAAGGGUAAAACAGCACAAAUGACCAUUAAAAACGAAACCAAGUGAGUACAAAAACUGCCCCACGCGGGCCCGGAUUUUCGGAGCUGCAUUCGUGUCCGCAGGACGUGCGGGCACGCACGAGUUCAACCAAAUUCCAGCUCAGAAACUCAUUUUGGCAUAUAUAAUAGUUUUUUUAAUUUUAUAUGUGGAAUCUUAUUUAUUUUCAAAGCAUGACAUAUUUUUUAUAUAUAUAUUUUUUCUCUAUGUGCGCUUUUCUUAAAAAAGCCGACGCUUUUUUUGCGCCUUGCGCCUAGGCUUCGGGCGAGGCCGAUGCGCCUCGCCUGCGCCUUGGGUCUUUGACAAUGUAGCUGCACCCGAGGAAGAAGAUCGUCUCGCCUGUGUUCAAGGCUCCUAGGCACACCCUAGACCUAGGCCUCACCUGAGCAUGGGUCCUCUCUUGACUAGUAGUUAAGAGAAACAUGUACUUUUUUCAUAAUUUCCAGUAUUCUGGAUUAAUUUUUGCACUCUUCCCUCUUAUCAGAUGAGGGUUACUGCAGGAAUGUUGCUCCUGAAUGCUUCCAUGGUUAGGGCUGUAAACGAACCGAACGUUCAGCGAACAGUUCGUGAACCGUUCGGCGGGAAGUUCGUUUAUGUUCGUUCGUUUAAGAAAUGAACGAACACGAACAAGGAAUUUCGUUCGAUUAGUUAAAUGAACGAACAUGAACAAAGGUCUCGUUCGUUCAAUUGUGUUCAUGAACGUUCGGUAAGGUGUUCGUGAACAUUCGGUAAGGUGCGGGAAGUUCAUUUAUGUUCGCAUGUUUGUGUUUUAAUGAAAGAUUUUUGUACUUUCAUAUAUUUUAUCUAUACUUUUUAUAUUAUUAAACUUAUAUUUAUUUUAUUACCCUAAGAAUUAAACUUGGAAAACCCUGUUUUACCUUGUUUAUGCACCAUUUCCCUUUCAUUUCUUAUUAUUUACAUUGACGCAUACGAUCGAUCUCCGUUCGACACGUUCAAGUGCUACUCUCUAGGCCAUCCACCUUUAUCCUUCGUCGCAUUCGUCAAAUUUAUUUGUGUUCGUGAACCGUUCGUGAACACGCUCAUUUCCCUAAUGAACGAACACGAACAUAAAAUCUCGUUCGGUAACUGUUCAUGAACCGUUCGUGAACACAUUUAUUUCCUUAACGAACGAACAUGAACAAGGCCUUGUUCGUGUUCGUUCGGUUCGUUUACAGCCCUAUCCAUGGUUGGAUUCUGUCUCGGUCGUUGUAUAAAUGCUCUUCAUUCGGCCCUACGUCGUGACGUCAUGACAAACUAAAAAAUAGAAGCACCAUGGAUCUAGACCGGACCCUUUGGGCCGUCUGCAGUGGUUGGCUCGACUAAUCUGUCAUGUCUCGGCCCUACGAAGUAAAUCAGGAAAAUCGUCAUAAAAGAAGUAUCAAUACGAUGGAAGAAUGGUCUCGGAAAUGGAUAUGAAUAACUGGAAGAGAAUGCAGAAGAAGAUGAUUAGUAUGAGUGAAGAAGCUGCCAUUGUUGCAGGUUCCCUGUUGUUGGAUUAUAGCUAUAUAUUGUUGGAGAUGCAACUUGUUUGUGAAAAAUUAAAAUAAAAUUAAUAUGUGUGGAUAAUGUUCUUCGGUGUAAAGCCAACUAGAUUGUGGGGGCAUGUAAUAAUAAAGGCAUUUAUAGUCGUCACAUCCAUUUCCAA
Molecule: RNA transcript, 4603 nt
Organism: Helianthus annuus (common sunflower)
Lineage: Eukaryota; Viridiplantae; Streptophyta; Magnoliopsida; Asterales; Asteraceae
Gene name: protein FLX-like 1
Exons: 9
Source: RefSeq, a predicted model, not a curated record